RNAcentral lists this long non-coding RNA (662 nucleotides) under Phasianus colchicus (ring-necked pheasant). RNAcentral describes it as "lncRNA (ENSPCLG00000013915.1)". Lineage: Eukaryota; Metazoa; Chordata; Aves; Galliformes; Phasianidae. The record is from RNAcentral.
UCUCGCUGUGCUCCCCUUCCUAAUUAAGCAGAAGUGCUAAUGAGCGAAGCGGGUGCGGGCUUGGAUGCUUUGGGGUGAUGCAGUCGGGGGGGCGGCUGCCCUACAGCCCAUCGAUGCGUAUUGUAGGACCACCACGGGGACCCCCAGGUGGUCUUCAGCCCCACAGCGCUGUCGUUUGGGAGCUGUGGGGCUGAGCGUGGGGAUGUGGAGAGGCUGUUUUGGGGGGCAGGGAGUGGGGAUUUGGGGGCAGGGAGUGGGGAUUUGGGGGCAGAAAGUGGGGAUUUGGGGGUGGGAUGUGGAAAUAGAGCCUGGGAGGAGCACGGGGUUUGGGGCUGAGGGCUUUGGGGCUGAAUUUGGGUACAUGGGGCGCUUUGGGGAUGGAUUUGGGGGUUUGGGGCUGGAUGUGGGGAUUUGGGGCUGGCUUUGGGUUUUUGGAGACAUUUCUGUUUUGGGAUGGAACGUGGGUUUUUGGAGACAUCCUGGUUUUGGGCCUGGAUAUGGAGUUUUGGGGCUGGCUUUGGGUUUUUGGAGACAUUCCUGUUUUGGGGCUGAAUGUGGGGGUUUGGAGACAUCCCUGUAUACUUGGAGAUAUCCCCAUUUGGGGGCUGGAUGUGGGGAUUUGGGGGCUGGAUGUGGGGAUUUGGGGCUGGAUGUGGGGAUUU